GUCAGCAAGUAACAAACCUUCAUGCAUAGCAAGAGCCUCAACUUCAAGGGUAGAGCUAGCCAAGAAACUUCUUCCCUUCUCAGCAACUAAAGCACCCAUAGAAUCUCUAAAUGAUCACCCCAAUUCCAACUUCCUUCGACAAUAUAUAAAUUGAAGGCACCAUCACAAUUAACAAUCCAAUAACCAACCGUAGGCGCAAUCCAUCUUACUUGCUUACAUCGAUCCUUCCUUCCUCUAAAAGAUUCUUAUUUUUUGUGUUGGUUAUGUUUAGUAC
This 274-nucleotide long non-coding RNA is filed under the name Gossypium raimondii (Peruvian cotton). Its description in RNAcentral is "long non-coding RNA (GRAI_LNC005128)". The record is from RNAcentral. Lineage: Eukaryota; Viridiplantae; Streptophyta; Magnoliopsida; Malvales; Malvaceae.